This 776-nucleotide ribosomal RNA is filed under the name uncultured Neocallimastigales. RNAcentral describes it as "partial large subunit ribosomal RNA". It matches the Rfam family "Eukaryotic large subunit ribosomal RNA", at positions 23 to 644 of the family's 3401-position model. Lineage: Eukaryota; Fungi; Neocallimastigomycota; Neocallimastigomycetes; Neocallimastigales. The record is from RNAcentral.
GAGACUCUGUGCGCGUGCAUAUCAAUAAGCGGAGGAAAAGAAACUAACAAGGAUUCCCUUAGUAACGGCGAGUGAAGCGGGAAGAGCUCAAAUUUGAAAUCUUCAAGGUUCUACCUUGACGAAUUGUAGUUUAAAGAAGUGUUUUCUGUUAGAUGAGUAGCAAAAGUUCCUUGGAAUAGGACAUCAUAGAGGGUGAGAAUCCCGUAUUUGACCAUUAUUCAUUCAGCUGCGUGAUACACUUUCAAAGAGUCGGAUUGUUUGGGAAUGCAGUCCAAAAUGGGUGGUAAAUUUCAUCUAAAGCUAAAUAUUGGCGAGAGACCGAUAGCGAACAAGUACCGUGAGGGAAAGAUGAAAAGAACUUUGAAAAGAGAGUUAAACAGUACGUGAAAUUGUCAAAAGGGAAGCGUUUGACACCAGUGUUGUUUUUCCGAAAAUCAAUUGCGAAUGGCUUGAUUUUGUGUUGUAUUGACCUUAUCAGCUUUCUUCACUUUUUUCGAGUCUUUCUUAAUGCACUUUUCGGUUAACAAGUCAACAUCAAUUUCUUUUGUUGUAAAAGAGUAUUCGGAAGGUGGCUUUCUUUUCGGAGAAAGUGUUUAUAGCCCUAUACUUCUACAAUCGGAGAGAUUGAGGUCUGCAGCGUAGAUCCUUCGGGGUUAGAUACAUUUGUGCUAAGUUGUAGCUUUUCAUAGACAACUUGUUGACUAUGUUUAGUCAUGCGGCUUACUCGCUUAUGCUAUUUUACCUACGCUUAGGAUGUUGACUGAUAUGUAGUCGUA